RNAcentral lists this ribosomal RNA (251 nucleotides) under uncultured bacterium. Its description in RNAcentral is "partial 16S ribosomal RNA". It matches the Rfam family "Bacterial small subunit ribosomal RNA", at positions 85 to 339 of the family's 1533-position model. The record is from RNAcentral.
GCGCUGACGAGUGGCGGACGGGUGCGUAACGCGUAGGAAUCUGCCUAUUAGUGGGGGACAACCUGGUGAAAACCAGGCUAAUACCGCAUACGCCCUACGGGGGAAAGCAGGGGAUCUUCGGACCUUGCGCUAAUAGAUGAGCCUGCGUUAGAUUAGCUUGUUGGUGAGGUAAUGGCUCACCAAGGCGACGAUCUAUAGCUGGUCUGAGAGGACGAUCAGCCACACUGGGACUGAGACACGGCCCAGACUCC